RNAcentral lists this signal recognition particle RNA (87 nucleotides) under Lactobacillaceae bacterium. RNAcentral describes it as "signal recognition particle sRNA small type". It matches the Rfam family "Bacterial small signal recognition particle RNA". From Rfam's summary of the family: The signal recognition particle (SRP) is a universally conserved ribonucleoprotein involved in the co-translational targeting of proteins to membranes. Archaeal SRP consists of a 7S RNA and homologues of the eukaryotic SRP19 and SRP54 proteins. Lineage: Bacteria; Bacillati; Bacillota; Bacilli; Lactobacillales; Lactobacillaceae. The record is from RNAcentral.
UCUUGUAGGCAAAUUUUUGUCAGUGAAUCAGGUCAGGGCAGGAAUGCAGCAGCCUUAAGUUGAAUAAAAGUUGUGCCUGCAUACAUA